RNAcentral lists this ribosomal RNA (498 nucleotides) under uncultured bacterium. Its description in RNAcentral is "partial 16S ribosomal RNA". It matches the Rfam family "Bacterial small subunit ribosomal RNA", at positions 28 to 508 of the family's 1533-position model. The record is from RNAcentral.
GAUGAACGCUGGCGGCGUGCCUAAUACAUGCAAGUCGAGCGAACAGACGAGGAGCUUGCUCCUCUGACGUUAGCGGCGGACGGGUGAGUAACACGUGGAUAACCUACCUAUAAGACUGGGAUAACUUCGGGAAACCGGAGCUAAUACCGGAUAAUAUAUUGAACCGCAUGGUUCAAUAGUGAAAGACGGUUUUGCUGUCACUUAUAGAUGGAUCCGCGCCGCAUUAGCUAGUUGGUAAGGUAACGGCUUACCAAGGCAACGAUGCGUAGCCGACCUGAGAGGGUGAUCGGCCACACUGGAACUGAGACACGGUCCAGACUCCUACGGGAGACAGCAGUAGGGAAUCUUCCGCAAUGGGCGAAAGCCUGACGGAGCAACGCCGCGUGAGUGAUGAAGGUCUUCGGAUCGUAAAACUCUGUUAUUAGGGAAGAACAAAUGUGUAAGUAACUAUGCACGUCUUGACGGUACCUAAUCAGAAAGCCACGGCUAACUACGUGC